RNAcentral lists this long non-coding RNA (2949 nucleotides) under Mus musculus (house mouse). RNAcentral's name for it is "long non-coding RNA chr6:128972743-128975692". The record is from RNAcentral. Lineage: Eukaryota; Metazoa; Chordata; Mammalia; Rodentia; Muridae.
AUGAGUAAUACUACUGUUUCUCAGAUAAGCCAUGUGCUUCUGAGGGCAAGUAGUCUAGAUGAACACUAGAGCGCCUUAAGAGAGUCCAUGACUGAGCAAUAAGAUGGUGAGGUUCUAAAAUGGCGACUUUUUUCAUCACCUUCCGGACCUGAGAACAAAUCUUGGCUACUUAAAACAGGCCUGUGCAGCCUUUUCUCCUCUCAUUGGUGCCCCUGCCAGUGAGCAAAUCCAAAUAGUUCAAGGCCAGAGCAGGAUGUGGUUUUUGAUUGACACAGUAAGAUGAACGAACUUGCUCUUUGUUUCAUUAUGGUGAAUAUAUUCAAAAUCACUUGGGCUAGCUUUAGAAAUAUGGUACCUUGUUGUGAGCAGUAUUCAUCCUACUGUGUCUUUGAACACCAAAUUUGAUACCACUUUGAAGAAAUUAAUAUCUGUUCUGUCUCUACUUCCCUCCAGCCUCUGGCAAGAGAUAUUUUUACUUGCUUGUGUGUUCACAAUAGCCAGCACAUGGAACACACUAACAGGCUUCUCUGCUGACUGAAUAAGCCAAUUUGAGCUGAAUUAAAAGUAGAAAAGCCUAUUUGUUUCAGAACAGUUCCAGGGCAAGUUCACUGGUCUCAGGGGACAAGACGGAAGUCCUGUAGGCUAUGGCAGAGAAGGCUUUUAUAGAUUGUUGGUGAAGGAAAAUGACCUGCCUGCCACAAGCUGGGCUUGAGCCCCAGUGUGGUCACCUAGGCUGGGGACAAAGGUUGCUACAGCUAUCAUGAAUGCGGAACUGGACUUUUGGUGCCAGGGCUGGGGUUGUGGGAGGUACGCAGUGUGCGCCAAGUCAAAGGCUCCAACCAAACAGACAUCAGCAUCUAUCAGUGGAUGAGUGUGGAAAAACUGUGAUACUUACUCCCAUAUAUACUGGAAUACUAUGCACUAGUAAGAUAGGAUGUCUUUUGUGACAACAUGGGUGGAUCUGGGUGACAUGCUGAGACAAAUUAGUCAGGCACUGAAAGGCAACAUUGUUCAUCAGUUGUAGAGGGGUUUGUCAGCUAAAAGCAGACAGGAGUUUCCACUCUUUUCUUGGAUUGGAAAGAUUUUUGAAAUCACAGUGCAGAACUAGAAAUCACAAUGAAACCAAACCACUCCAAUAUGAAGGGGUUUAGAAAUCUCCCAAGAUUUACUUUCUAUAGGAGUGUGAGGAGGGCUGAGGAGUGCUCCCAGGGGAAGCUCGAUUGCUCACAGCAACACAUGGCUGAGAGGUGCUGAGGCUCGAAAUGAGCACAGUAGAAUUUAUUAUACUAUCUUUUUAUAUUCUGUAGAACUAGAAAGAAUGAAGCCAGGGAGUUCUGUGUGGAUCCAAAGGAAACAGUUCAGUGCCUUAAAGCUUUCUUUCUAAUCCUAAGGAUUCUUUUCCUGCUUGUUAAUGUAAUAGAAGCUUCCUGGUAUGUUAGGUGUGUGAAAAUGAGUGAAAUGAAAGGGUUAAAGUCAGUGAAAACUCUGUAAAAAGUAUAAUUUACAUCCAGUAAAAUUAAUUCAAUUCUGUGAAUUUUGAAAACUAUAUAAUCUUGCAUUCUUCAUCAUGAUAUAUAGGGGCUGAAGAUUUGGCUCAACCAUUGAGAGCAUUUAUUGCUCUUGCAGAGGACUGGGGUUUCAUUCCAAGCACCCAUAUGGUGGCUUACACACCCACCCCUAAUUCCAAUUCCAGGGAUCCAAUAUACUUGUCUAAGCUCUUCUAAUACUAAUCAUGCCUGUAGUAUACAUACAUACAUACAUACAUACAUACAUUCUAGCAUACAGGCCAACAAAGCACUGUUACAUGUAAGAUAAAUAAGACUGAAACAGUCAUUUUAAAAGUACAUACACAUCGCUUCUCAGCCUUUUGGCUAAGUCAAGUGUAAAAGUAUAUACAGACCCCAUACCCUAUCUCAGUUUCCCCAUUGUCUGCUGCAGACUCUCCCUGCUCCUCUACCUCAGCUGUGAGUACUCACCUUUCCAGAUGCCAUAAAAUGUGUCCAUGAAGCAGAGAGGUCCCACCUGAGUUCUUUCAGCUUGUCACAGCAAUGCCCUCUGUUCAUCACUCACACUGCAGUGCUUAUCAGUAGCAUGUCAGAAACAAGCAGUGCUGGAGAGAUGCUGAGAGACCAUGUCUACAGCACUGCUGUCAGAACCAUGCUCUGAGUUCAGAAUUUUGCAUGAGUCUCACCAGCAAAUAUUAUACAAAGAUGUUGUGAAAGGCUGUCAGGAAACUUCUAGAGAAGUGAGAGGAGGAGGUUAGUAGUGGCUGUUGGGUGUCUCCUCUCAAAUGAAACUGCCACUCCCUGUAGUUCUCUGACUUGGUUUGCAUAAGCUUACUGGAAGGCUUAGUUUAGGGACUUUUUGGGUAAGAAGCCCUUGGGAUAUUUUGCCUGUUAAAGUGGCAUGAGAUAGGGCAAGCCCAGGCUUGUGUUCUGAGUUGUUUCUUGUGUUGAGAGAAGGUUUACCUUGUCAUCAGCUUGGGGAUAAUAUUUCAAUGGUCACAAAUGUAUCAUUUUCACAGGGAUCCUUAAAGCUGUUAUAAAUAUUCACAUAAAGAUAUCGUGCCACUUAAAUGCAGGCUGUCCUUUCCAGCAUGGGGAUAUGUGGGUGGAUGGGAGCAUAUCAUAUUUUAUACUUACAAACAGUUUUGUAGUAGCUGUACAAUUUAGCUUUAAAAAGGCGUGUUAGUUCUACAUCAACAUUGAUAUCCACAUCAAUGUAUAACCAUCCUGUUGUCCAGACAGUGAUUUUGCUCUUAAAUCUAAGAUGAUUUUGCCCAAGACAAGUUCACAAAUAUUCUCCCUUAUUUUUCUAAAUAUCAAAUGUCUAUGAUAUUAAGGUUUGUGCUUGGGUCUAUAUGUCUACAAAUGGACUGUAGUAGUUUGUGUUUAUUUUAUUUUAUUUUAUUUUAUUUCAUUUUUAAAAUAAAAAUACAUCUUUAUGUGU